This 785-nucleotide ribosomal RNA is filed under the name uncultured prokaryote. RNAcentral's name for it is "bacterial SSU rRNA". It matches the Rfam family "Bacterial small subunit ribosomal RNA", at positions 683 to 1482 of the family's 1533-position model. The record is from RNAcentral.
GAAAUGCUUAGAUAUCACGAAGAACUNCGAUUGCGAAGGCAGCUUGCUGGACUNUAACUGACGCUGAGGCACGAAAGCGUGGGGAUCAAACAGGAUUAGAUACCCUGGUANNNCACGCCGUAAACGAUGAAUGCUAGCUGUUAGCGAUAUACUGUUAGCGGCACAGAGAAAUCGUUAAGCAUUCCACCUGGGGAGUACGCCGGCAACGGUGAAACUCAAAGGAAUUGACGGGGGCCCGCACAAGCGGAGGAACAUGUGGUUUAAUUCGAUGAUACGCGAGGAACCUUACCUGGGCUUAAAUUGCAGUGGAAUAACGUGGAGACAUGUUAGCCUUCGGGCCGCUGUGAAGGUGCUGCAUGGUUGUCGUCAGCUCGUGCCGUGAGGUGUCGGCUUAAGUGCCAUAACGAGCGCAACCCUCAUCGAUAGUUACUAACAGGUUAAGCUGAGGACUCUAUCGAGACUGCCAGCGUAAGCUGUGAGGAAGGUGUGGAUGACGUCAAAUCAGCACGGCCCUUACGUCCAGGGCUACACACGUGUUACAAUGGGGGGUACAAAGGGCAGCUACCUGGCGACAGGAUGCUAAUCUCAAAAACCUCUCUCAGUUCGGAUUGGAGUCUGCAACCCGACUCCAUGAAGCUGGAUUCGCUAGUAAUCGCGCAUCAGCCACGGCGCGGUGAAUACGUUCCCGGGCCUUGUACACACCGCCCGUCAAGCCAUGGGAGCCGGGGGGACCUGAAGUAUGCAACCGUAAGGAGCGUCCUAGGGUAAAACUGGUGACUGGGGCU